RNAcentral lists this long non-coding RNA (516 nucleotides) under Zonotrichia albicollis (white-throated sparrow). RNAcentral's name for it is "lncRNA (ENSZALG00000012599.1)". Lineage: Eukaryota; Metazoa; Chordata; Aves; Passeriformes; Passerellidae. The record is from RNAcentral.
CCCUGCAGGGUGAAGAAAUAAGAAUGUGAGAAGAGAAGAGAAGAGACUGCUGAGACCAGACAAUUUAAAAGCGCAAGUCUCUUGCUUCUAGCUGUUGUGGCAGCUCUCUGAAUUAAAACUGAGCUUAAAUGAAGCUGCUGGGAAGAAAUGCAGGUCAAGCCUAGGAAGUCAUAACCCUGAGAGUGAAAUGUUGUGUUGCUGGGGCAGCUGUAUGGUGCCUCCUGGAGCCAGGGACCAUUGAUCCUGAAUAUUCCAGUCUGGAUAAAGGAACAGCAAGCUGCUCUGUUGAAUGGAUUUCUCCAUGAGGUUAUUUUGCAGGUCAGGAGGUUAGCUCACUUUUGUCUUUUUACUCAGCUGCUGCAGAAGAAAUCCUCUGUGUGUUCUCCUGAAUUGUAAAGGCUGGUAAGAAAGAGAAGCCAAAGUCAUCCAUUAAUCCACAGGCAAAGUCCUAUUGAAGCUGCUGCAGUGAAAGCUCUCACACGCUGCCCUGGAAAUAACCCCGGCCGUGACGUGGUG